ACCUCCUUUCUAAGGAUGGAUCGGAUAGCCUGCGAGCUUUGCUCGCCUUUGAGCGCUUCCAAUCCUUCUAAGAAACAUGCCGUCGUCCUCAUGUCCCUUCAUCACUGGAGAUUGCCACAGCUUAUGUUGUGGUAUCUGCCUGAGCCGGCUUGGCUGCCUGAUGCGGCAUAUUGCCGCAAGGCUACGAUGGGCCGGUAGCUCAGGUGGUUAGAGCGCACGCCUGAUAAGCGUGAGGUCGCAAGUUCAACUCUUGCUCGGCCCACCAUCUCUCUUUUGUAGUGAGAAGCUUUUAAGGGGCCUUAGCUCAGCUGGGAGAGCACCUGCUUUGCAAGCAGGGGGUCAUCGGUUCGAUCCCGAUAGGCUCCACCAGUUUUACCGGUGCGGGCAUAGACCGCACAAAACAGUCCUGGGGACUGUUUUGAGGUAAAACUCCCGAGCGAUAGCGACGGGUCGAGGGUGGAUAAGACGUGCAGCGUGGUGUUGAGCGCCUUUGGCGUUCCGCUUCGUAGAGAUAUCUCCAGAUGAUGAAGACACGAAAUCCGGUUCGCAAGAGCCGGUAAGUGCGCGGGAGCGAUCCUGUGCUGCUUCUUUGACAUUGUGAAUGGGUUUUUAAUCGAUGCCGUGACGCAUCGUGCGCACUGACUACGGUCGGGGUGUGCGUUAUGCGUUAUUACAGAUGUCAAAUCUGGCUGAGAUUACUGUCUGCACCUAGCACGACACAGGCAUUAUGCAGGUCUGAUGUUGAUGGUGUGGAUUCUCAAGCGUGAGGUAAGAGCAUUU
This 780-nucleotide transfer RNA is filed under the name Novosphingobium sp. RNAcentral's name for it is "partial contains 16S ribosomal RNA, 16S-23S ribosomal RNA intergenic spacer, and 23S ribosomal RNA". The stretch from base 189 to 262 matches the Rfam family "tRNA". The record is from RNAcentral. Lineage: Bacteria; Pseudomonadati; Pseudomonadota; Alphaproteobacteria; Sphingomonadales; Sphingomonadaceae.